This is a non-coding RNA of Felis catus (domestic cat), 85 nucleotides long. NCBI's taxonomy places the organism in Eukaryota, Metazoa, Chordata, Mammalia, Carnivora, Felidae. The record is from Rfam.
GCCUGGGUGGCUCAGUCGGUUAAGCGUCUGACUUCGGCUCAGGUCAUGAUCUCGCGGUCCGUGAGUUCGACCCCCGCGUCAGGCC